Molecule: long non-coding RNA, 718 nt
Organism: Cheilinus undulatus (humphead wrasse)
Lineage: Eukaryota; Metazoa; Chordata; Actinopteri; Labriformes; Labridae
Exons: 3
Source: RefSeq, a predicted model, not a curated record
GAUAGCAGCUCACCGGCGUACACACGGAUCCAUCACGGCAGGGAAAACGCAGUUUGGAGGCUGCCGGUGAUGCCGCUGCUGCAGCGUUUGGUCCGUCGAGACGCGGGAUGAGGGAGGUGGGGGUGUCGGUGGUGGUGGUGGUGAUGUUGGUGGGGGUGGGGGCAUCCGAGGGCCCACGACGAAACACUCAGCUCUGCAAAUGAACUCAUCGGACCCGAAAUCACGGUCUCAUGAGCAAACGGUGGUUGAUGAAUCAUUAUGCGCACAGAGACGCAACAUGCGCGCGCGUGAGUGUGUUUUAUUGAGGAGUGACGCUGUUUGAUGAUUCAAGGAGAGAGGGUAAUGCCCAGUAGCACAAGAAUUAAGGAUGGCUGAUUGGAUGGGACCAUGACUAAUAACUCUGCAUCUGAUCCAAGAGUGAAUAUCCAAAGGGGCACAGAGGCAGCCAGCUGUUAUGUUCUAAUGAAAUUCUGGAACCUGAGCUGCAACUUGAAGAAAUCACAAAUGUGCUGCAUUGAUCUAUGAAGACACUGCAAAAAAAAAAAAAAAAAAAAAAAGUCUCUACAGAAGAGAAAAUGUCUCAGUUGCCUGUGGAGGAGUCACGUUUUACAUCAGGGUUUACAUAAUCUUUGCUAUUUUGUUUUGGGGAAAAAUAAUAGUUUGAUUUUUUAUUAAAUAACUGUACAUGAUUGAGCGAUCUGCAACAUUGUAAAGAAAA